CGCUCCGUCCUAGGGGAGUAGUCUCCCACGAGCGCCAUGCUCGUCCGGCACGUAUCAACAUACUUGGUCCUCAGACCAUGGUACGUGCGACCCGGAAUCCGCUCAGACGGAUCGGUGGUU
Molecule: non-coding RNA, 120 nt
Organism: Pseudomonas syringae pv. actinidiae ICMP 19096
Lineage: Bacteria; Pseudomonadati; Pseudomonadota; Gammaproteobacteria; Pseudomonadales; Pseudomonadaceae
Source: Rfam